Molecule: long non-coding RNA, 8086 nt
Organism: Loxodonta africana (African savanna elephant)
Lineage: Eukaryota; Metazoa; Chordata; Mammalia; Proboscidea; Elephantidae
Exons: 4
Source: RefSeq, a predicted model, not a curated record
AUGGCCAGGGGGAUGAUAUGACCUUGGGUAGGGGUGUGGGGCUGCCCAGGUGAGAUCGCAGUGGUGGUCUGGCCUGGAUUGGCAGCCCUGGGCCACCUUGUGUUACCUUUGGAUUGUUUUUGGUGAAUGGCUUGAACUUCCGUUGGGGGGGUAUGAGACCAUGUCUCAGCCUUGGUGAAAGUGUCGAACUCCUGCGUCUCUCAAGCUUUGAUACAAGGGAAGAUGGGAGACAACAAGAAAACAUGUUCCUAGCUUGAGUGUCUCCACUCAAGUGAGCUGGGUAGGGGGCUGGUUACCAGGGUUCCAAGUUCUGUGUACUCUGUCAUCAAGGAAGUGAGGUCAUGUCCUGGACUCCUGACUUGAGCCUGAUGUCAGUUAAGACUUCCCCCAAAUCCCCUCUGCACUGCAGAAUGCUCGCCUGUCCCCAUGCCAUCUCCAUAACUGUACACAGUGACACCAACACAGCCCUCCCCCCACCCCCAGAGCUUGUGGAAGGCUUGGGUGUAGCCAGGACCCCAGCUCUGAGCAUACAGAGCUGGGUUCAGACAAAGCUCAUCCCUCUCAAUCAGUUUGUGACCCUGGACAAGUCUUUGUGCUUCUCAGAGCCUCCCCAGUCCUCCUACCCAGACAGUAGGGAACAUUCUAGUGUCUUCUUCCUAGACACCUCAUCAGGUGUAUGUGAGAUAACACCUAUAGAACCCGUGGGCUGCCAUUACCUGAAGGUAACCAGGGGUGGAUUAUCUAAUAGGCAAGGUAAGCAUAGGGCUUACCUGCUUACCAGAUCAUCUGUAGUGAACAUUUUCACCUUUUCAUAUUUUUUCACCACAUCUAGUACUCUGCAUCUAGGUGUGGCUGGCAUCUAUCUCUCCCAACCCCAGAGCACCUUCCUACAGAAUCAAAGCCUCUUUUCAAGUAUACAUUCUCUGAUGGGGGGCAGGUGACCGUGAAAGCAAGGUAAACACAGGUCUACUUGUGCUUACUUACUAACCUGUAGUGAAUAAUUUCACGUGGGUUUUGCUACAUCAGAGAUGUGGUGUUCACCGUGCUUAUGUUGCCUAUUGGGUAAUCUGUCCAUGUAGCUAAUGAACAAACUCAGAGUUGGAAGAAUUUCAAGCAGGGGCGGGAAGCACCAGGGAGUACAUCUCCAAACAGGGCUGGGCUCAGGUGCUGUGAACUUGGGAAAGUCACUUCCACUCUCGGUCUCAUUUCCCAGUCUGCACUAGGAUGAGGUUGGAAUUAAAUGAAUGUCAGAUAUCAUCACCCUCUGCGUAAAACCUUCCAGUAACUCCCAUUAUAUACAAUCUGACCCAGUGUUUCAUCUCAGACUAGGGGGUGGGCAACCUGUACAGCAGCUCCCAACAAUCCUAACUCCUGGUCUCCACAUCCUGUGUGACCACGUCCCCUCACUUUGGAUUGGACUCAGGGACUUGUUUCUCAAGAGUGUUGUUGUUAGGUGCCACUGAGUCGAUUUCAAGUUAUAAUGACCCCAUUUGAGGCAAUGUUUCUUGGCCCUCUUUUAUUCUCUGUUUCUCAGUCAUCUCUCUGUCAUUUAUUUCUCUCUCUCCCCCCAGGAAGGAGCUGUGACGUAUGACCUGCCCAUGGAGAGACUCAUGUGACAAAGACCUGAUUGGAGGGUCUUGAUCAACAGACAGAGAGGAAGUGAGGCCCCCCAGACCAACAGCUUACAGAGUCCUGCUCAUAACAUGGAAGUAAGUAGGGAGCAGAUCCUCCCCGGUCAAGACUCAGUUGAGCCCACAACCACAGGGUCCUGAGAACUUGGGGCAGUCACCAGGUCUUUGGUGUAAGGGGGACCUCCGGAAACAUCUGAAUACUCUGCGAUCUUGGCCCCGCCUCACCCCAGAGCAACCUUAAAAAUGUUUUAGAGAUGACAAGGCUGUUGUCAGCGUGGGUCCCUGGAUGACUGCAUUGAGGAGGCCCACUGCAGUGACGGAUCUUUCACCUGUCCAGUAUCUGUACAGGAGCCACAAUUGGUGAUCAAUGGAUCGUGGUCUAGCAUGCAGAAGUGAGUGAGUGGAGAAAAGCAGCAGAGCUGGUGGGUUGUGAAGACAUGUGUUUGAAGGCUGCCACACUCUCUACUCCAGGGCUCCUCUAUAGUAUCUGAACACCUUGAGGCCAGAGACCAUGUCUUGUUCAACUCUGUACACCGGAGCGUAGCACAGUGCCUGGUCUGCGUGAGGCAGGUGUGUGUUCAGUGUAUGGCUGGUUGGGAAAUGACUUUGAUAGACUUGAUAAUGAACUCUAGUGUGGUGGCUGGAGAGCUGCAUAUCACUCAUGUCCACCGGGAGCCUGUGAGGAUAGUAACGAGGGCCCGUGUGCUAUUUCUAAGAUUUCUAAAUUCUCCUUAAAUAUCACACAUUUAUCCAGCGUAAGAAAACUCCCUGAUGAAAAUGUCCAUUUGCAUUGUUUCUGGCUGGAAUUCUAUAAGCCCUCUCAGAUUACCCCAGUUUUUUCAUGAGAAGCAGAGAAUGUAAUCGGCUGUUAAUAUAUGUAUAUCCUUUUUUUUUUUUUAAAGAAGUGUGCAAAUUAUUGCAUAAGUGCAGUUUUUGGAGACAGAAAGGUAUGUAAAAUCACCAGUAAACUGUACAGGAUAAAGAAUAAAAUGUUUUCCUUAGUAGUGAAAGGGUUGAGAGCCAAAUUUAUGUCAUCAUUUAUUCAAAUACUUAUUGAUUGAGCACCACUUACAUGCCGGGCACAGUUUUAAGAGCUUGAGAUACAGUAGUGAACACGACAGACAAGAUCUGCUGCUCCCGGAGUUUACCUUCUAUGGGGAGAAAGACACUGUAAACAAAUAAACCAAUAAACAUAUAAGGAACUAUCUGAUAAUGGGAAAUGCUCCCCAUAGAAUGGAGUCUCUGGGUGGUGCAAAUGGAUAAGGUGCUUAGCUGCAAAUUGAAAGGUUGGUGGUUCGAAUUCAAGACCUGGUGAUCCACUUCCGAAACAUCAGCCACUGAAAACCCCGUGGAACACAGUUCUACUCUGACAGACACGGGGUUGCUGUGAAUCGGCAUCGACUCAAUGGCAACUGGUUGUACUCAGAGAAUGAAAAUUGAGGGAUUUUCUAAAGGGUGACUGGGUGGCAGGAAAGGCCUCUAUGAGAAGGUGACAUUUAAGCUGGGUCGUAAGUGACAAAAACUAUUAGAAGAAAGAGCACUUGAAGAAGAGGGAAUCAUGCAAAGGGCCCCCGGGGCAGGACCAAAUGAGGCAUUUUCAUUGCGUGUGUUUAUUGACUUGUGACAGUCUGUACCACACACUUGAUGACCUAAAAUCAGAUACUACUCAAGAAUAGUGAAUGGACUCUUAGGCUUAUAUAUCUGGUAACAGCCUAAACCAGCUGAUAAUAGGACAUAAGUGAUUCAAGGGAUACAGCAAUCAGGACAGCGCAAUCUAGGAGCCCAUCUAUGUAUAUUGAAAGAAAACAAAACACAAUAAGACUCGGUGAGCAAAUAUAAAAUAAAUCACUACAAUAUCUUAGAGAUGGGUCGGAGACAGCAUUCGAUAUCAAACCACGUAAAGAAGCAGACCAUGAUUGCUUCUAAAACUCCCCAAACUAAAGAAUCAAAAUCUUUCCCAAAUGAAGGUACAAUACUGGAAUUGCCAGAUGCAGGAUAUAAAAAACUAAUUUGCAGAAUGCUUCAAGAUAUCAGGGAUGAUCUCAGAAAUGAAAUAAGUCAAUCAACAGAAAAAGCCAAGAAACACACUGAUAAAGCUGUUGAAGAAAUCAAAAAGAUUACUCAAGAGCAUAGUGGAAAAAUUAAUAAGCUUCAAGAAUCGAUAGAGAGGCAGCAUUCAGAAAUCCAAAAGAUUAACAGUAAAAUUAUAGAAUUAGACAACUCAAUAGGAAGUCAGAGGAGAAGACUCAAGCAAUUGGAAUGCAGAGUGGGGGAUCUGGAGGACAAGGGAAUGGACACCAAUAUAGCUGGAAAAAAAUUAGAUAAACAAAUUUAAAAAAAAUGAAGAAACCCUAAGAAUCAUGUGGGACUCUAUCAAGAAGAAUAACUUGCAUGUGAUUGGAGUCCGAGAACAGGGAGGGAUAACAGAAUAUACAGAGAGAAUAGUUGAAGAUCUGUGCUCGGAAAAAUUCCCUGACAUCAUGAAAGAUGACAGGAUAUCUAUCCAAGAUGCUCAUAGAACCGCAUAUAAGAUUGAUCCAAAAAGAAAAUCACCAAGACAUAUUAUCAUCAAACUUGCAAAAACCAAAGAUAAAGAGAAAAUUUUAAAAGCAGCCAGGGAUAAAAGAAAGGUCUCCUACAAAGGAGAAUCAAUAAGUUCAGACUAGUCAGCAGAAACCAUGCAGUCCAGAAGGGAAUGGGAUGACAUAUAUAGAGCACUGAAGGAGAAAAACUGCCAGCCAAGGAUCCUUUAUCCAGGAAAACUCUCUCUCUAAUAUGAAGGCGAAAUUAAAACAUUUACAGAUAAACACAAGCUUAGAGAAUUUCCAAAAACCAAACCAAAGCUCCAAGAAAUACUAAAGGAAAUUGUUUGGUCAGAAAAUCAAUAACGUCAGAUAACAACACAACACAAGGUCAAAGAACAGAACAUCCUGAUAUCAACACAAAUAGGGAAAUCACAAAACAAAUUAAGAUUAAUUUUAAAAAGAAAAAAACGCUCAAAACAGGGAAUCAUUGAAGUCAUUAUGUAAAAGAUCACAAUAAUCAAAAAGAGGGACCAAAUGCAGGUGGCACAGAACUGCCAUAUGGAGAGGGAUACAAGGCGAUAUAGGACAAUACAAGUUAGGUUUUUACUUAGAAAAAAAGGGGUAAAUAUUAAGGUAACCACAAAGAGGUAAAACAACUCCAUAACUCAAAAUAAAAACCAAGAAAAACAUAACAACUCAGCAAACAUAAAGUCAACUACUAUGAAAAUGAGGAGCACAAAAUUUACAAAGAAAAACGUCUCAGCACAAAAAAGUAAGUGGAAAAAUGAAAUUGUCAACAACACACACAAAAAGACAUCAAAAUGACAGCACUAAACACAUAUCUAUAAUUACGCUGAAUGUAAAUGGACUAAAUGCACUAACAAAGAGACAGAGAGUCUCAAACUGGAUAAAGAAACACGAUCUGUGUAUACGCUGCCUACAAGAGACACCUUAGACUUAGAGACACAAACAAACUAAACCUCAUAGAAUGGAAAAAAAUAUACCAAGCAAAAAAGAGCAGGAGUAGCAAUAUUAAUUUCUGACAAAAUAGACUUUAAAGUUAAAUCCACAACAAAGGAUAAAGAAGGACACUACAUAAUGAUUAAAGGGACAAUAGACCAGGAAGAUAUAACCAUAUUAAAUAUUUAUGCACCUAAUGACAGAGCUGCAAGAUACAUAAAACAAACUUUAACAGAACUGAAAAGUGAGAUAGACACGUCCACAAUUAUAGUAGGAGACUUCAACACACCACUUUCGGAGAAGGACAGGACUUCCAGUAAGAAGCUCAAUAGAGACACAAAAGACCUAGUUGCUGCAGUCAACCAACUUGACCUCAUUGACUUAUACAGAACACUCCACCCAAUAGUUGCAAAGUAUCCUUUUUUUUUCUAGUGCACAUGGAACAUUCUCUAGAAUAGACCACAUAUUAGGUCAUAAAACAAACCCUUCCAAAAUCCAAAACAUCGAAAUAUUACAAAGCAUCUUCUCAGACCACAAGGCCAUAAAAGUGGAAAUCAGUAACAGAAAAUUAGGGAAAAGAAAUCAAAUACUUGGAAACUGAACAGUACCCUGCUCAAAGAAGACUGGGUUAUAGAAGACAUUAAGGAGGGAAUAAAGAAAUUCAUAGAAUGCAACGAGAAUGAAAACACUUCCUAUCAAAACCUCAGGGACACAGCAAAAGAUGUGUUCAGAGGUGAAUUUAUAUCGAUAAAUGCACACAUACAUAAAGAAGAAAGAGCCCAAAUCAGAGAACUGUCCCUACAACUUGAACAAAUAAAAAGUGAGCAACAAAAGAAUCCAUCAGGCACCAGAAGAAAACAAAUAAUAAAAAUUAGACCUGAACUAAAUGAAUUAGAGAACAGAAAAACAACUGAGAGAAUUAACAAAGCCAAAAGCUGGUUGUUUGAGAAAAAUAACAAAAUUGAAAAACCAUUGGCCAGACUGAGUAAAGAAAUACAGGAAAGGAAACAAAUAACCCGAAUAAGAAAAGAGAUGGGCCACAUCACAACAGACCCAAAUGAAAUUAAACGAAUCAUAUCAGAUUAUUAUGAAAAAUUGUACUCUAACAAAUUUGCAAACCUAGAACAAAUGCAUGACUUCCUAGAAACACACUACAUACCUAAACUAACACAAUCAGAAGUAGAACGACUAAAUAGACCCAUAACAAAAAAAGAGAUUGAAAAGGCAGUCCAAAAACUCCCCAACAAAAAAAAAAAGCCCUGGCCCGGACGGCUUCACUGCAGAGUUCUACCAAACUUUCAGAGAAGAGUUAACACCACUACUGCUAAAGGUAUUUCAAAGCAUAGAAAAUGAUGGAAUACUACCUAACUCAUUCUAUGAAGCCACCAUAUCCCUGAUACCAAAACCGGGUAAAGACAUCACAAAAAAAGAAAAUUACAGACCUCUAUCUCUCAUGAACAUAGAUGCAAAAAUCUUCAACAAAAUUCUAGCCAAUACAAUUCAACAACAUAUCAAAAAAAUAAUCCACCACGACAGAGUGGGAUGUAUACUAGGUAUGCAAGGCUGGUUUAAUAUUAGAAAAACCAUUAAUGUAAUCUACCGUAUAAAUAAAACAAAAGGCAAAAACCACAUGGUCUUACCAAUUUGUGCAGAAAAGGCAUUUGACAAAGUCCAACACCCACUUACGAUAAAAACUCUCAGCAAAAUAGGAAUAGAAGGAAAAUUCCUCAACAUAAUAAAGGGCAUCUAUACAAAGCCAACAGCCAACAUCACCCUAAAUAGAGAGAGCCUGAAAGCAUUUCCCUUGAGAACAGGAACCAGACAAGGAUGCCCUUUAUCACCGCUCUUAUUCAACAUUGUGCUAGAGGUCCUGGCCAGAGCAAUUAGGCUAGACAACGAAAUAAAGAGCAUAUGGUUUGGCAAGGAGGAAGUCAAAUUAUCUCUAUCUGCAGAUGACAUGAUCUUAUACACAGAAAACCCUAAGGAAUCCUCCGGAAAACUACCGAAACUAAUAGAAGAGUUUGGCAGAGUCUCAGGUUAUAAAAUAAACAUACAAAAAUCACUUGGAUUCCUCUACAUCAACAAAAAGCACAUCGAAGAGGAAAUCACCAAAUCAGUACCAUUCACACUAGCCCCCAAGAAGAUAAAAUACUUAGGAAUAAAUCUUACCAAAGAUGUAAAAGACUUAUACAAACAAAACUACAAAGUACUAGAGCAAGAAACUAAAAAGGACCUACAUAAGUGGAAAAACAUACCUUGCUCGUGGAUAGGAACACUUAACAUAGUAAAAAUGUCUAUUCUACCAAAAGCCAUCUAUACAUACAAUGCACUUCCGAUCCAAAUUCCAAUGACAUUUCUUAAUGUGAUGGAGAAACAAAUCACCAACUUCAUAUGGAAGGGAAAGAAUUCUCGGAUAAGUAAAGCAUUACUGAAAACAAGAAGAAAGUGGGAGGCCUCACUCUACCUCAUUUUAGAAUGUAUUAUACAGCCACAGUAGUCGAAACAGCCUGGUACUGGUACAAGAACAGGCACAUAGACCAAUGGGACAGAAUUGAGAACCCAGAUAUAAAUCCAUCUACAUAUGAGCAGCUGAUAUUUGACAAAGGCCCAGUGUCAGUUAAUUGGGGAAAAGAUAGUCUUUUUAACAAAUGGUGCUGGCAUAACUGGAUGUCCAUUUGCAAAAAAAUGAAACAGGACCCAUACCUCACGCCAUGCACAAAAACUAACUCCAAGUGGAUCAAAGACCUAAACAUGAAGACUAAAACGAUAAAGAUCAUGGAAGAAAAAAUAGGGACAACGUUAGGAGCCCUAAUACAAGGCAUAAACAAAAUACAAAACAUUACCAAAAAUGCCGAAGAGAAACCAGAUAACUGGGAGCUCCUAAAAAUCAAACACCUAUGCUCAUCUAAAGACUUCACCAAAAGAGUAAAAAGACCACCUACAGACUGGGAAAGAAUUUUCAGCUAUGAC